GACGAACGCUAGCGGCGUGCUUAACACAUGCAAGUCGAACGGAGUGGAGAACGGGUGAGUAACACGUGGGUGAACUGCCCUGCACUUCGGGAUAAGCUUGGGAAACUGGGUCUAAAACCGGAAAGGGCAAGAUGAGCGCGCGGCCUAUCAGCUGGUUGGUGGGGUAAUGGCGUACAAAGGCGGCGACUGGUAGCCGGCCUGAGAGGGUGGACGGCCACAUUGGGACUGAGGUAGUGCCCAGACGCCUACGGGAGGCAGCAGGGGGGAAUAUUGCACAAUGGGCGGAAGCCUGAUGCAGCGACGCCGCGUGGGGGAGGAAGGCCUUCGGGUUGUAAACUCCUUUCGACAGGGACGCGGUACCUGUAUAAGAAGCACCGGCUAACUACGUGCCAGCAGCCGCGGUAAUUC
Molecule: ribosomal RNA, 408 nt
Filed under: uncultured bacterium
Lineage: Bacteria
Description: partial 16S ribosomal RNA
Rfam family: Bacterial small subunit ribosomal RNA
Source: RNAcentral